This 467-nucleotide long non-coding RNA is filed under the name Rattus norvegicus (Norway rat). RNAcentral describes it as "long non-coding RNA NONRATT010498". Lineage: Eukaryota; Metazoa; Chordata; Mammalia; Rodentia; Muridae. The record is from RNAcentral.
GGUGAACUGUCUCCUCUCAGACUGUAAGCCAAACGAACUCUUCUUUAAGUCACUCUCUGCCAGGUGUUUGGUCACAGCCAUGAGAAAAGUAACUGAUAGAGACCAGGCCCUGGGCGCCCUGCUGACACGGACGACGGGCGUCUGUCUACACUGGAGUGCAGUGUCACAUCUGGCAGAUGCCCGCUGGCUAGAUGACAUGUUUCUUCCCAUUUCCUACUCUUCUGAAGUUAACUAUCAUGUUCUACUGACUCCAAAUUGUCCUUGGGUAGAUCUGGAGGCUGCCUCUGAAGAAUUACUUAAGACUUUGUUCUUUUAAGGGAUUUAUGUCCAAAUAGAUACCAAUGUUGGCUGCUUUCACAACUGUUACACCCAUCCAGCCAAAAACAUUCUAUCCCUCCCCUCCAUGAAACUUCUUACUGGGAGAAAACUGUUGUUUCCUUUUUUAAUAAAGGAAAAUACCUCCCCUA